AAUCAACGCUGGCGGCGUGCCUAACACAUGCAAGUCGAACGCGAAAGCCCUUUCGGGGGUAAGUAGAGUGGCGUCCGGGUGAGUAACACGUAGGUAAUCUGCCUUCGGGUGGGGAAUAACCAGUCGAAAGAUUGGCUAAUACCGCAUAAUGCAGCGGCACCUAAUGGUGAUUAGUUGUUAAAGCGGGGGAUCGUAAGACCUCGCGCCUGAAGAGGAGCCUGCGGCAGAUUAGCAGUUGGUGAGGUAAUGGCUCACCAAGGCUUCGAUCUGUAGCUGGUCUGAGAGGACGGCCAGCCACACUGGCACUGACACACGGGCCAGACUCCUACGGGAGGCAGCAGUGGGAAUUUUGGGCAAUGGGCGAAAGCCUGACCCAGCAACGCCGCGUGAGGGAGGAAA
Molecule: ribosomal RNA, 399 nt
Filed under: uncultured bacterium
Lineage: Bacteria
Description: bacterial SSU rRNA
Rfam family: Bacterial small subunit ribosomal RNA
Source: RNAcentral